RNAcentral lists this ribosomal RNA (253 nucleotides) under uncultured bacterium. Its description in RNAcentral is "partial 16S ribosomal RNA". It matches the Rfam family "Bacterial small subunit ribosomal RNA", at positions 524 to 776 of the family's 1533-position model. The record is from RNAcentral.
UACGUAGGGUGCAAGCGUUGUCCGGAAUUAUUGGGCGUAAAGAGCUUGUAGGCGGUUUGUCGCGUCUGCUGUGAAAUUUCGGGGCUCAACCCCGAGCUUGCAGUGGGUACGGGCAGACUAGAGUGUGGUAGGGGAGACUGGAAUUCCUGGUGUAGCGGUGAAAUGCGCAGAUAUCAGGAGGAACACCGAUGGCGAAGGCAGGUCUCUGGGCCAUAACUGACGCUGAGAAGCGAAAGCAUGGGGAGCGAACAGA